This 436-nucleotide long non-coding RNA is filed under the name Cyanistes caeruleus (blue tit). Its description in RNAcentral is "lncRNA (ENSCCEG00000013654.1)". Lineage: Eukaryota; Metazoa; Chordata; Aves; Passeriformes; Paridae. The record is from RNAcentral.
GUCACCUGGGAGGUUUGGAGGAAUCUCUGGAGACAGAGCAGAGAAAUCUUCCUCUGGAAGCUGGUGCCUAUCUCCAUCACUUGGGAUCGCCAGCAGACUCCACUGAAAGCCAUGGGUUCUUCUUCUUAAAACACAUUGAAAGAGGUACAAGCAGACAAACGAGAGCUGAUCACGCUCACAUUGCCCAGGAAAUGCAUCUCUGGUGGAAAGUUUAUUUCUCCCUGUGACAUCACCGCUCUUCAGAAAACGUGUCAAAGACAAUUCGACAGCGUGGCUGUGUUGCACAAGAAGUUUCAGAUGAGAACUGUUGCGUGUAAAAUCGCAGCCCCCACUGCUGCUCAGAGCAUGGAUGUGGACUGAGAAGCCAAAAUUUUGUCUCUCAAAGCCACCUGGCUGCAGUUGAUAGUCAAAUCUGUUGUUAACCCCUUUUGUGUAA